RNAcentral lists this ribosomal RNA (1537 nucleotides) under Klebsiella pneumoniae. RNAcentral describes it as "bacterial SSU rRNA". It matches the Rfam family "Bacterial small subunit ribosomal RNA". The record is from RNAcentral. Lineage: Bacteria; Pseudomonadati; Pseudomonadota; Gammaproteobacteria; Enterobacterales; Enterobacteriaceae.
AUUGAAGAGUUUGAUCAUGGCUCAGAUUGAACGCUGGCGGCAGGCCUAACACAUGCAAGUCGAGCGGUAGCACAGAGAGCUUGCUCUCGGGUGACGAGCGGCGGACGGGUGAGUAAUGUCUGGGAAACUGCCUGAUGGAGGGGGAUAACUACUGGAAACGGUAGCUAAUACCGCAUAAUGUCGCAAGACCAAAGUGGGGGACCUUCGGGCCUCAUGCCAUCAGAUGUGCCCAGAUGGGAUUAGCUAGUAGGUGGGGUAACGGCUCACCUAGGCGACGAUCCCUAGCUGGUCUGAGAGGAUGACCAGCCACACUGGAACUGAGACACGGUCCAGACUCCUACGGGAGGCAGCAGUGGGGAAUAUUGCACAAUGGGCGCAAGCCUGAUGCAGCCAUGCCGCGUGUGUGAAGAAGGCCUUCGGGUUGUAAAGCACUUUCAGCGGGGAGGAAGGCGGUGAGGUUAAUAACCUCACCGAUUGACGUUACCCGCAGAAGAAGCACCGGCUAACUCCGUGCCAGCAGCCGCGGUAAUACGGAGGGUGCAAGCGUUAAUCGGAAUUACUGGGCGUAAAGCGCACGCAGGCGGUCUGUCAAGUCGGAUGUGAAAUCCCCGGGCUCAACCUGGGAACUGCAUUCGAAACUGGCAGGCUAGAGUCUUGUAGAGGGGGGUAGAAUUCCAGGUGUAGCGGUGAAAUGCGUAGAGAUCUGGAGGAAUACCGGUGGCGAAGGCGGCCCCCUGGACAAAGACUGACGCUCAGGUGCGAAAGCGUGGGGAGCAAACAGGAUUAGAUACCCUGGUAGUCCACGCCGUAAACGAUGUCGAUUUGGAGGUUGUGCCCUUGAGGCGUGGCUUCCGGAGCUAACGCGUUAAAUCGACCGCCUGGGGAGUACGGCCGCAAGGUUAAAACUCAAAUGAAUUGACGGGGGCCCGCACAAGCGGUGGAGCAUGUGGUUUAAUUCGAUGCAACGCGAAGAACCUUACCUGGUCUUGACAUCCACAGAACUUUCCAGAGAUGGAUUGGUGCCUUCGGGAACUGUGAGACAGGUGCUGCAUGGCUGUCGUCAGCUCGUGUUGUGAAAUGUUGGGUUAAGUCCCGCAACGAGCGCAACCCUUAUCCUUUGUUGCCAGCGGUCCGGCCGGGAACUCAAAGGAGACUGCCAGUGAUAAACUGGAGGAAGGUGGGGAUGACGUCAAGUCAUCAUGGCCCUUACGACCAGGGCUACACACGUGCUACAAUGGCAUAUACAAAGAGAAGCGACCUCGCGAGAGCAAGCGGACCUCAUAAAGUAUGUCGUAGUCCGGAUUGGAGUCUGCAACUCGACUCCAUGAAGUCGGAAUCGCUAGUAAUCGUAGAUCAGAAUGCUACGGUGAAUACGUUCCCGGGCCUUGUACACACCGCCCGUCACACCAUGGGAGUGGGUUGCAAAAGAAGUAGGUAGCUUAACCUUCGGGAGGGCGCUUACCACUUUGUGAUUCAUGACUGGGGUGAAGUCGUAACAAGGUAACCGUAGGGGAACCUGCGGUUGGAUCACCUCCUU